Molecule: unclassified non-coding RNA, 372 nt
Filed under: uncultured bacterium
Lineage: Bacteria
Description: contains 16S-23S intergenic spacer region
Source: RNAcentral
UCCGGUUUGUCACCGGCAGUCUCAUUAGAGUGCCCAACUAAAUGUAGCAACUAAUGACAAGGGUUGCGCUCGUUGCGGGACUUAACCCAACAUCUCACGACACGAGCUGACGACAGCCAUGCAGCACCUGUGUUCCGGUUCCCUUUCGGGCACAGCCACCUUUCAGCAGCCUUCCAGACAUGUCAAGGGUAGGUAAGGUUGUUCGCGUUGCAUCGAAUUAAUCCACAUCAUCCACCGCUUGUGCGGGCCCCCGUCAAUUCCUUUGAGUUUCAUUCUUGCGAACGUACUCCCCAGGUGGGAUACUUAUCACUUUCGCUUAGCCACUCAGAUUGCUCCGAACAGCUAGUUAUCAUCGUUUACGGCGUGGACUAC